UAAUAUUUUAUUAUAUAGUAUAUUUGACUUCCAAUCAAAAGGUCCAUAACUGGAAAUAUU
This 60-nucleotide transfer RNA is filed under the name Peuceptyelus minutus. RNAcentral describes it as "tRNA-Gly". Lineage: Eukaryota; Metazoa; Arthropoda; Insecta; Hemiptera; Aphrophoridae. The record is from RNAcentral.